CGUCUAUCAACUACGAAUGUGCUAAAAGUAAAGGGAAUAUCAGUCAUUCCAAAUGUCAAUCAAAAUAGUAGGGCGCACCCCCAAGAAUAAAAGAUGGCAUUGUCCCCAAUACCAACUACCAAAAUAAGCAUAAAUGACAGGAAAGGAUAUAGAAUGGCCCCUCAAGACUAAUCUGUCGCCAUUUGCUUAUCAGUGGUCCCUAUGUACUAUGUAUUUUUGGGAACCUCAGACUAGUCCACGACAUGUUGUUGUUGUGCUGCUGGGACAAGGGCAGGAUCA
This 279-nucleotide long non-coding RNA is filed under the name Nicotiana benthamiana. RNAcentral's name for it is "long non-coding RNA (NBEN_LNC008101)". The record is from RNAcentral. Lineage: Eukaryota; Viridiplantae; Streptophyta; Magnoliopsida; Solanales; Solanaceae.